Strongylocentrotus purpuratus (purple sea urchin) is the source of this 353-nucleotide long non-coding RNA. RefSeq lists it as uncharacterized. The transcript has 3 exons. Lineage: Eukaryota; Metazoa; Echinodermata; Echinoidea; Camarodonta; Strongylocentrotidae. The record is from RefSeq and is a predicted model, not a curated record.
UUGAUUGGAUAAGUGCCUCAUGAAUAUGUAUUUUAUCGAUAGUAUCGUUUAAGAAACCGGAUAAUAUAUUUGACCUCAUUGCGUCACUUUAAUUAUGCAGAUUUAUGCACGACGCUACUAUACACUCGCACAAACUGAGAAGAGUUAGUUCAUUGAGAAUGGAUUGAAACUGAUGAAGAUCGAGCUGGAAGGAGUUAACUGAUGAGUAGACAUUACAACAUUUCUUAUAUUUGCAAGAUGAAGCUGAAAGUCCCAUGCAGGAUGAUGCUUCUCUACAGUGGAUGAUGAAGGCAUGCUGAUUACAAACCCAGGAGAGGAACAAAGAACAGAUAUUCACAGAAUCAUAUCUAGAG